CCCUUAGAUGUUCUGGGCCGCACGCGCGCUACACUGACGAAGUCAGCGAGCAUGUCCUACGCCGACAGGUGCGGGGAAUCUUGUCAAACUUCGUCGUGAUGGGGAUUGAUUAUUGAAAUUCUUGAUCAUCAACGAGGAAUUCCUAGUAAGCGCAAGUCAGCAGCUUGCGUUGAUUACGUCCCUGCCCUUUGUACACACCGCCCGUCGCUACUACUGAUUGGGUGUUCAAGUGAGAUGCUUAGACCCUUGUUGCAUGGUUCAUUAUUGUGCUCCGAAAGGAAAAAGUUUCAAGCUUGAGUGUCUAGAGGAAGUAAAAGUCGUAACA
RNAcentral lists this ribosomal RNA (325 nucleotides) under uncultured eukaryote. RNAcentral's name for it is "partial 18S ribosomal RNA". It matches the Rfam family "Eukaryotic small subunit ribosomal RNA", at positions 1470 to 1796 of the family's 1831-position model. The record is from RNAcentral.